RNAcentral lists this long non-coding RNA (1186 nucleotides) under Olea europaea subsp. europaea. Lineage: Eukaryota; Viridiplantae; Streptophyta; Magnoliopsida; Lamiales; Oleaceae. The record is from RNAcentral.
AUUUUCUAACAUGACUAAGUCUGAACUCAUUUGCAUUGAUCCAUUCUCUGAUGGUACAGAUAGUCCACUCUCUUAUACCCCCAUGCAUUAUAGAUAAUCAAUGCACUACAGGUACAAAUGCAAUGGAUCAAGAAGUCCUUGAUGUUCCCACUUUGUCUACGGCCUCCCAAGCACCUUCUGUGAUUGUCAAUCCUCCUCCACCCCCUCGAUGUCCUCAGCGUUCUAGUAAGUCUACCCAGUUGCCAGAUUUCAGUUAUUCUUGCUAUUCAGAUUCCUUUAAUUGAUUUUUAACCUCUAUUCAUAACCUAUCCGAGCCCUUUUCGUAUAAAAAGGCUAUUCUUGAUCCUCUUUGGCAGGAGGCUAUGGCUGAGGAACUCUCUAUACUGCAUAAAACUGAUACUUGGGAUUUGGUUCCAUUACCACCUAGUAAACGUGCUGUUGGUUCUCGUUGGGUCUAUAAGAUAAAAACAAAAGAUGAUGGGUUGGUUGAGUGAUAUAAAGCUAGAUUAGUUGCUAAGGGUUUCAAUAAGGAGUAUGGUGUGGAUUAUGAGGGGACCUUUGAUCCUGUUGCAAAGAUGACUAUUGUUCGUGCACUGAUUGCUGCUGCAUCUGUUCGUCGAUGGAACAUCUCUCAGAUAGAUGUUAAAAAUGCCUUCUUGAAUGGAACUCUUCACGAGGACGUUUACAUGGUGUCCCCUUCUGGACGUUUGUAAACUUAAGAAGGCACUUUAUGGUCUCAAACAAGCACAUGGUGCUUGGUUUGAGAAGUUUUCUACUGUUAUUGCCUCUCUUGGUUUUUCAUCCAGUCAUCAUGAUUCUGCUCUUUGUUCAGUGCACAUCAGCAGGUUGUAUUUUCCUUUCUUUAUAUGUUGAUGACAUGAUUAUUUUUGGUGAUGAUAUUGAUGGCAUUGUUAUCUUGAAGUCAGAAUUAGCUCGUCAAUUUGAAAUGAAGGACUUGGGUCCCCUAUGUUACUUCUUGGGUAUAGGUUGUUUAUUCUCUUAAGGGUUAUCUUCUAUCUCAGUCUAAGUAUACAGCCAACGUCAUCGAACGUGCUCGUCUCAAUGAUACUCGAAUUGUUGAUACUCUUCUUGAGAGUUCGGCAUUCUCCCUCUGAUGGUGUACCUUUGACACAUCACACUUUAUAUCGUACUAUUGUUGGUUGCUUGGUAUAGCUUACUAUUACUU